This 804-nucleotide unclassified non-coding RNA is filed under the name Hevea brasiliensis (rubber tree). The record is from RNAcentral. Lineage: Eukaryota; Viridiplantae; Streptophyta; Magnoliopsida; Malpighiales; Euphorbiaceae.
CAAAGCCAGAAUAUACAAUUGCACCAAAAAUCCUCCAACUUAAUAGUAAUCUGUCAAUAUGAUUCUGUAACUUUUAUCAUAACUUUAACCCUAUCAUACAGUUGCUCACAAACGUUUGUGUACAGCAAGCACUUGUAAAGUUAUGAUCUACCAAUAUAUUUCUUUGCUAUAUUAACAAACUAAAGGUGUGCCAAUGUACACCAUGAUCAAGAUCAAAUUCAAAAAUUUUAUAAGGCCAAUGAUCUUGAAAAGAAUUCCCAAUCCUGAAACUAAAACCGCAGUGAAUCCAUCUACAUAACUGACAGAUCACUGAUAUAGUCAUCCCACAUAUUACUCGCAAUAGAGUCACGCAAUUGUGAACUAAACUCGAGUUGUUAAUGUCCACAGCCUCCUUCUCAACUUGCAUCAUUGACUGUUCCACAUCUAAUGGGGGCAAUGAUUCUUCAAUUUCUAUCAUGUUAUCCGGUUCAUACAUUCCAAAAAUCAAAUCAUCUGGUUUCUCCCCACGGAUAAAAUUGUGUAUUGCACAUGCCGCUACAACCAACUUAACCUGUGUUUGUAAAGGGUAUGGGGGAGCUGACAUCAAUAUAGGGAAGCGUGCUUUCAGAGCACCAAAGAUACGAUCAGUGGCAUUUCUCAACAAUGAGUGCCUUUGAUUGAAUAGUUCUCUAGGAUCUUGAGGAUGAUAACCAAUGGGAUAUUCAUUUGUGUGAUAAGGGAUCCCAUCGUAUGGGGCUAUGUAGCCUGGCAUAUUUGCAUAUUUGUUAUCCACAAGAUAGUACUUACCUUCAGGGACCUGCAACU